AAUUGACGGGGCCCGCACAAGCGGUGGAGCAUGUGGUUUAAUUCGAUGCAACGCGAAGAACCUUACCAGGCCUUGACAUACUCGGCAAAGCUCUAGAGAUAGAGUGGAGGUUAUCCGGGAUACAGGUGGUGCAUGGUUGUCGUCAGCUCGUGUCGUGAGAUGUUGGGUUAAGUCCCGCAACGAGCGCAACCCUUGUCUUUAGUUACCAUCAUUCAGUUGGGGACUCUAGAGAGACUGCCGGUGAUAAACCGGAGGAAGGUGGGGAUGACGUCAAAUCAUCAUGCCCCUUAUGGCCUGGGCUACAAACGUAAUACAAUGGCGUAUACAAAGGGAUGCGAAAGGGCGACCUGGAGCAAAACUCACAAAGUACGUCUCAGUUCAGAUUGGAGUCUGCAACUCGACUCCAUGAAGGCGGAAUCGCUAGUAAUCGCGGAUCAGCAUGCCGCGGUGAAUACGUUCUCGGGGUUU
Molecule: ribosomal RNA, 468 nt
Filed under: uncultured Erysipelothrix sp.
Lineage: Bacteria; Bacillati; Bacillota; Erysipelotrichia; Erysipelotrichales; Erysipelotrichaceae
Description: bacterial SSU rRNA
Rfam family: Bacterial small subunit ribosomal RNA
Source: RNAcentral